Molecule: ribosomal RNA, 519 nt
Filed under: uncultured bacterium
Lineage: Bacteria
Description: bacterial SSU rRNA
Rfam family: Bacterial small subunit ribosomal RNA
Source: RNAcentral
AUUAGAGUUUGAUCCUGGCUCAGAUUGAACGCUGGCGGCAUGCCUUACACAUGCAAGUCGAACGGCAGCAUGAUCUAGCUUGCUAGAUUGAUGGCGAGUGGCGAAGGGGUGAGUAAUACAUCGGAACGUGCCCUGUAGUGGGGGAUAACUAGUCGAAAGAUUAGCUAAUACCGCAUACGACCUGAGGGUGAAAGUGGGGGACCGCAAGGCCUCAUGCUAUAGGAGCGGCCGAUGUCUGAUUAGCUAGUUGGUGGGGUAAAGGCCCACCAAGGCGACGAUCAGUAGCUGGUCUGAGAGGACGAUCAGCCACACUGGGACUGAGACACGGCCCAGACUCCUACGGGAGGCAGCAGUGGGGAAUUUUGGACAAUGGGCGAAAGCCUGAUCCAGCAAUGCCGCGUGUGUGAAGAAGGCCUUCGGGUUGUAAAGCACUUUUGUCCGGAAAGAAAUGGCUCUGGUUAAUACCUGGGGUCGAUGACGGUACCGGAAGAAUAAGGACCGGCUAACUACGUGCCAGCA